RNAcentral lists this ribosomal RNA (502 nucleotides) under uncultured bacterium. RNAcentral describes it as "partial 16S ribosomal RNA". It matches the Rfam family "Bacterial small subunit ribosomal RNA", at positions 28 to 507 of the family's 1533-position model. The record is from RNAcentral.
GACGAACGCUGGCGGCGUGCUUAACACAUGCAAGUCGAACGGUGAAGGGGUCUGCUUUUGUGGGCGCUGGAUGAGUGGCGAACGGGUGAGUAACACGUGAGUAACCUGCCCCCUUCUUCUGGAUAACCGCAUGAAAGUGUGGCUAAUACGGGAUAUUCUGGGUCUGUCGCAUGAUGGGUCUGGGAAAGAUUGCGCCGUUGGGUGUUUUUGGUGGGGGAUGGGCUCGCGGUCUAUCAGCUUGUUGGUGGGGUGAUGGCCUAGCAAGGAGGUGACGGGUAGCGGAGCUGGGGGGGGGGAAGGUUGCAAUGGGAACGCGGCACGGACCACACUGCUAGGGGAGGCAGCGGUGGGGAAUAUUGCACAAGGGGCGCAAGCGUGAUGCAGCGACGCCGCGUGAGGGAUGGAGGCCUUCGGGUUGUAAACCUAUUUCGCAAGUGAAGCAGGCCUGCUACUUGUGGGUGGGUUGACGGUAGCUGGAUAAGAAGCGCCGGCUAACUACGUG